Molecule: long non-coding RNA, 827 nt
Filed under: Pan troglodytes (chimpanzee)
Lineage: Eukaryota; Metazoa; Chordata; Mammalia; Primates; Hominidae
Description: long non-coding RNA NONPTRT010586
Source: RNAcentral
CAGAACUUUUAAAACAAAAUCCCCAUAUGUGGCUGGGCGCGGUGGCUCGUGCCUGUAAUCCCAGCACUUUGGGAGGCUGAGGCGGGCAGAUAACCUGAGGUUGGGAGUUUGAGACCAGCCUGACCAACAUGGAGAAACACAUCUCUACUAAAAACACAAAAUUAGCUGUGCAUGGUGGCACAUACCUGUAAUUCCAGCUACUCGGGAGGCUGAGACAGGAGAAUCACUUGAACCUGGGAGGCAGCAGUUGUGGUGAGCUGAGAUUGCACCACUGCACUUCAGCCUGGGAAGCAAGGGUGAAACUCCAUCUCAAACAACAACAACAACAACAACAACAACAACAACAGCAGCAGCAGCAACAACCACCACAAAACCCAAAUGCAUUUCCUUGGCACAGUAAAACUGAAACAGAAAAAGUAACAAGCCUUACCAGUGGCUUCAGAGGAAGAGCAAGAAAGGCAUGAAAGAAGUGAAAAGAAGCAACCACAGGUCAAAGAAGGAAAUAAUACAAACAAAAGUGAAAAAAUACAACUUUCAGAAAAUAUAUGUGAUAGUACAUCUUCUGCUGCUGCUGGCAGAUUAACCCAACAAAGAAAGAUUGGGAAAACGUAUCCUCAGCAAUUUCCCAAGAAGCUGAAGGAAGAGCAUGAUAAAUGCACCUUAAAACAAGAAAAUGAAGAAAAAACAAAUGUUAAUAUGCUGUACAAAAAAAAUAGAGAAGAAUUAGAAAGGAAAGAGAAACAAUAUAAGAAAGAAGUUGAAGCAAAACAACUUGAACCAACUGUUCAGUCACUAGAGAUGAAAUCAAAGACUGCAAGAAAUACUCC